This 297-nucleotide long non-coding RNA is filed under the name Gossypium raimondii (Peruvian cotton). Its description in RNAcentral is "long non-coding RNA (GRAI_LNC000685)". Lineage: Eukaryota; Viridiplantae; Streptophyta; Magnoliopsida; Malvales; Malvaceae. The record is from RNAcentral.
GCGAACGGCGGUGGUAGGGUUGGUGAUGUAGAAGUGUACGGCGCACAUGGGGGGAACUAGGGUUUUCUAUUUUUUUCUUUUUUCUGAAAAUGGGUUUUGGGCUAGGGUUUUUAAUUUGGGCUUGUUAUGUGGGUUUUGGGCCUAUUGGACCCGGGUCAAAAUGGGCCGUACAGCUGCCCCUCUUUACUCGUUGUCGUGUAACGAGAAUAGAGCAAAGACUAAAAAAGGCCCAUUUUGCCCGGUCUUGCCAAAUCUUGACUUCUUGGUGCCUUUCUUCUUCAGGUAGCCUCUUUCCCC